GGAAGGAUCAUUCGCACUAUCCAUUUCCAUAUUGUGAACCUAAGCUGAGAGCGACUGCUUGUGUGCUCAGCCGCAAGUGGAAGCUCGGGGGCGACUGGGCGUAGACGGCUCUGCAUUCAAUUGUAUGUUCCGGAUAUGGCUCAUCGUCACUGGUCCUCUUUGGGACCUCCCGCAACAUUGCAAAUGCUUGUGGAAGCUAUUGCUUAAGUGACCGAGUGUACACAAUUUUCAGCGACGGAUAUCUUGGCUCGAGCACCUAUGAAGGGCGCAGCGAAGUGCGAUAAUCGUUGUGAAUUGCAGAACUCCGUGAACCAAUGGCCUCUUGAACGUGCAUUGCGCUCUUGGGAUAUGCCUGAGAGCAUGUCUGCUUCAGUGCUUCUUAUAUCAUUUUUUUUGCUGCUGCUCUUUUUUCAAAGGGCAGCGUGGGUGCAUGCUACUGCUUGGCAGCACUGGCAUGCUUAGAUUUGCUGCUUGCUCACUGGUUUGAUUGAUCACUUUUAUCAAACUUUG
This 510-nucleotide ribosomal RNA is filed under the name Symbiodinium sp. clade A. Its description in RNAcentral is "eukaryotic LSU rRNA". The stretch from base 224 to 378 matches the Rfam family "5.8S ribosomal RNA". The record is from RNAcentral. Lineage: Eukaryota; Dinophyceae; Suessiales; Symbiodiniaceae.